GAUGAACGCUGGCGGCGUGCCUAAUACAUGCAAGUCGAGCGAACAGAUGAGGAGCUUGCUCCUCUGACGUUAGCGGCGGACGGGUGAGUAACACGUGGAUAACCUACCUAUAAGACUGGGAUAACUUCGGGAAACCGGAGCUAAUACCGGAUAAUAUAUUGAACCGCAUGGUUCAAUAGUGAAAUACGGUUUUGCUGUCACUUAUAGAUGGAUCCGCGCCGCAUUAGCUAGUUGGUAAGGUAACGGCUUACCAAGGCAGCGAUGCGUAGCCGACCUGAGAGGGUGAUCGGCCACACUGGAACUGAGACACGGUCCAGACUCCUACGGGAGGCAGCAGUAGGGAAUCUUCCGCAAUGGGCGAAAGCCUGACGGAGCAACGCCGCGUGAGUGAUGAAGGUCUUCGGAUCGUAAAACUCUGUUAUUAGGGAAGAACAAAUGUGUAAGUAACUAUGCACGUCUUGACGGUACCUAAUCAGAAAGCCACGGCUAACUACGUG
Molecule: ribosomal RNA, 497 nt
Filed under: uncultured bacterium
Lineage: Bacteria
Description: partial 16S ribosomal RNA
Rfam family: Bacterial small subunit ribosomal RNA
Source: RNAcentral